Non-coding RNA from Triticum urartu, 831 nucleotides. The record is from RefSeq and is a predicted model, not a curated record. NCBI's taxonomy places the organism in Eukaryota, Viridiplantae, Streptophyta, Magnoliopsida, Poales, Poaceae.
UGAAUCUCAUCCUAGUUCCAUACCAGAGCUCAGAGAGAACGCGAGGUCCCUCGCCAGAGCUCGUCAGAUCUGCCGACCAACGAUGUAGCGGCCGGCGCCAGGGAUGGAACUCGCACCGGAAUCGCUCACGCAACUUGUGCUAAGCUUCUCCUCCAUCCCCACCAAAGAUCCAACUCUCUGUUUGACCUAUCAAGAACACCAAGAGGUGGUGGUUUUAGCAGAUUGGACAGAGAGCGAAAACCAGGGCGGGAGCUGGAUCGAGACAGAGCAACAAAUCCGCUACUAGGAAGAGUAGAAGCCGGAUCCAUAUAUUUGCUGCUAGGCGCCGUCGUUUUCAGGACAGACACCUGCAAAUGAUAACCUGUUUUGCAAUCAGAACAAUGUCCACCGCAGAGAAGGAUAGUCGUGGAACAAUACCAGAUGAGCGCCAGCCCUUAGAGGGCAGGGUCAACGCACUCAAGAAGGCAAUGUGUAACUUUGCUAAACACAAGACCGGAUUGGUCACCACACCUGAGAUUGGGAGAGAGUUUUACUCGGUGUUAGAAGCAUUUGAGUUUUACAACUUGAUUUUUUGGGAAACAGGGGUUGGUAACACAUAUGGACAAUGUAGGAGAAAUGCGCAGAAAGCAAAACCAUCAAAGAGCCAGUUUGCGAUUACGCGAUGAGUACAAACAUAUGGUACGUAGCACUUGUUAUAGAUUUUAAUGGUGCUUUCAUUGCCACCGUUAGAGGACUUUAUUCUACCCCCUCCCCCGGUUAAGCACUUUGUUUCAACACCACCAGUACUUAAGUAUUCAAAACAAGUAUACUUUCGCAAGUUCGUUAACUAAA